This is a non-coding RNA of Sus scrofa (pig), 1750 nucleotides long. NCBI's taxonomy places the organism in Eukaryota, Metazoa, Chordata, Mammalia, Artiodactyla, Suidae. The record is from RefSeq and is a predicted model, not a curated record.
GUUCAAAAUCACAUAGCAGUAAGUGGUGAAGUUGAGAUGAUUCACACUCAGAUCUCUUUGCCUCUCAGAUUCCCCUUAUUCAGCUGUUUCCAUAGAGCCCUUUGAGCCACAAGAAAAAGUGCUUGCUAAGCAACUAACAAAUGUCAUGAAUAACACCAUUGUUCAAUAAUUAAGAGGAAGAGAGGAAAGGGAAAGGAAUUUAGAGUUCCUUCCUUCCUUUCUAAAAAUGAAUAAUUUUGUCUAGUAACUGUGCUGCUUGAGGGCAAAUUUGCAUCCCCAAUUUAUCCAAUCGUCGAUGGUGCUGAUUGCAUUUCUCCAAACUCUGUGAGCUGCUGAGCAACAAAGAGCAGCCCAGAAAAGACUGGCAGAGACAGUGCACAUCUGCUGGGAAGUCUUGGUUUACUCUGUGUGCCUGGGGUGAAGAUGACUGAGGAAAUCCUAGGAAAAGAAGCCUCCUCUCAGGACGCCAUCUGUUUCUUUGCAAUUGGGGAUGGUUGAAUAAUUUCCUGAGGAAUUGCUGACAGGACGCGGCCCAGGAACAGUAAUCCAGCAGGACCAGAUUUCUCAUUAAAAUUGCUCAGCUCAGCUGUGUUCUAGCGAGCCCUUGAUUUAAGGUGGUCACCCCGGUCACACAAAGGAAGGGCAAGGCGGUUGACAGAAGCCUGGCUCCGGAAGCAAAUAUGUUGUCUAUUCCAUGAAGCAUCUUUCUGACCUGAUUUCUCCUUUGGAUCAGAAUUCGAUCUGGGGGCUUUGAGCCAGCUAUUCGGCAUUUCGGUCUUGAAUGUGCCGUUCACUAGAAUAAAACCAGGACGCGCCUUCUCUUCUUCCAGCUUUCAUUUCUUGACCUUCAAAGAGGUAAAGAGAUCUAACAUCCCUUCAAGCUCAGAGUCUCCAAAGUAGCUGUAAUUUGAAGGGUAACUUUCUUCAGAAAAUUGUGAUGACUUCACAGCCAUGGCUGAAGCCAUCUGGACUCUACAGAUUACCUAAUGGAAUAGCUUUCACUCGCUCACAGGUGUUAUUCCCACAAGAAGUCUCAAAUAAACUACCUGCAUGCAAAUCUCCAUCCUAAUGGCUGUUUCCCCAAGGAACCCUACCUAAGGGUGAAGAGUCAGAGGGGAGGUGGAGGAGUCAGUGAGAUGGAUCAUUUCAAGCAUCUAUGAUAUCUCCGGCCACUCCGUUAAAGAUGGAUGCAAAUUACUGUCUUCAGGAAACCUGCAAUAAAAUUCAGUGGCUACACCCUCUCUUCUGUGACAUGCAACUCAUCCAGGACUCCACCACCAUCACCAGUCAGGAGAUACCCAGCACCUUCUUUGGAGUACAGUCUGGGUAAGACCUGCCACUUUCCUUGCAGUGGACCAUGCCCCUUCUUGAAACUUGCAAAUAUUUUAUUAACAUGUUUCAAUAGCCAUUAUACAUUUCUCUUUUGCAUCAGUAGACUGUAUUUUCUAUUUAGAUAUUUAGCUCAUGAAGAUAGAGGAAAAACUGAAACUAGUAAGACUGCUUUUGAUAUGCUAACAUUGUGCAGUGAGUAUUUGGGGACUAAAUAUUUAUGCUAUUUCUUUAAUUUGAACAGAAAGAUGAGAAAAUGAAGCAUUAAGAGAGAAGACCAUGAACAAGAAUUCUUAAGAGUCUGGAACUAAUUUCCAGCACUAGAUCUUUUAGAAGGGAAAAUUUGAGAUGACAUAAUAUCCUCUUCUUUAAUUUAUUCAGAUAUGGUGCCCUGUUUUGUUUUAUUAAUUUUAUUGGAAUA